RNAcentral lists this ribosomal RNA (406 nucleotides) under uncultured bacterium. Its description in RNAcentral is "bacterial SSU rRNA". It matches the Rfam family "Bacterial small subunit ribosomal RNA", at positions 355 to 776 of the family's 1533-position model. The record is from RNAcentral.
UGAGGAAUCUUGCACAAUGGGCGCAAGCCUGAUGCAGCGACGCCGCGUGGGCGAUGAAGGUCUUCGGAUCGUAAAGCCCUUUUCUGCGUGACGAGACAAGGACGGUAGCGCAGGAAGAAGCGUCGGCUAACUACGUGCCAGCAGCCGCGGUAAAACGUAGGACGCAAGCGUUAUCCGGAGUUACUGGGCGUAAAGGGCGUGUAGGCGGCUUCGCAAGUGGCUCGUGAAAGACUUCGGCUCAACCGGGGGUGGACGGGUCAGACUGCGGAGCUGGAGGAUGUCAGAAGGACACGGAAUUCCGGGUGUAGUGGUGAAAUGCGUAGAGAUCCGGAGGAACACCAGUGGCGCAGGCGGUGUCCUGGGGCGUACCUGACGCUGAGACGCGAAAGCAUGGGGAGCGAACGGG